GACGAACGCUGGCGGCGUGCCUAAUACAUGCAAGUGGGACGCAAGGACACACACUGUGCUUGCACACCGUGUUUUCUUGAGUCGCGAACGGGUGAGUAACGCGUAGGUAACCUGCCUAUUAGCGGGGGAUAACUAUUGGAAACGAUAGCUAAUACCGCAUAAUAUUAAUUAUUGCAUGAUAAUUGAUUGAAAGAUGCAAGCGCAUCACUAGUAGAUGGACCUGCGUUGUAUUAGCUAGUUGGUAAGGUAAGAGCUUACCAAGGCGACGAUACAUAGCCGACCUGAGAGGGUGAUCGGCCACACUGGGACUGAGACACGGCCCAGACUCCUACGGGAGGCAGCAGUAGGGAAUCUUCGGCAAUGGACGAAAGUCUGACCGAGCAACGCCGCGUGAGUGAAGAAGGGUGUCGGAUCGUAAAGCUCUGUUGUAAGUCAAGAACGUGUGUGAGAGUGGAAAGUUCACACAGUGACGGUAGCUUACCAGAAAGGGACGGCUAACUACGUG
This 505-nucleotide ribosomal RNA is filed under the name uncultured bacterium. RNAcentral describes it as "partial 16S ribosomal RNA". It matches the Rfam family "Bacterial small subunit ribosomal RNA", at positions 28 to 507 of the family's 1533-position model. The record is from RNAcentral.